RNAcentral lists this RNase P RNA (326 nucleotides) under human gut metagenome. RNAcentral's name for it is "Bacterial RNase P class B". It matches the Rfam family "Bacterial RNase P class B". Rfam says of the family: Ribonuclease P (RNase P) is a ubiquitous endoribonuclease, found in archaea, bacteria and eukarya as well as chloroplasts and mitochondria. Its best characterised activity is the generation of mature 5'-ends of tRNAs by cleaving the 5'-leader elements of precursor-tRNAs. The record is from RNAcentral.
UUAGGUAAACGCUGCAUGAACAAUGUAGAGGAAAGUCCAUGCUCACACUAUCUGUGAUGAUAGUAGUGUUCGCGCAUAGGGAAAAAAUAACCUAUGGUAGUUUAUACUAACGGCUUCGAAUAAACCGUUUAGGUUUUAGUAGAUAUAAAAGUGCUAUAGUGACGAAUUGAUUUAGAAAUGAAUCAAGUGAGACGACGUAAACCCCGCGAGUGAGAAACCCAAAUUAUGGUAGGGGAACUAAUUUUGGAGAAACGAAUUUAAAAAUUAGAUCGAAAGAUAGAUAAAUGUUUACCAACAAAUUUAUUUGUUACAGAACAUGGCUUAUU